Molecule: non-coding RNA, 75 nt
Organism: Cafeteria roenbergensis
Lineage: Eukaryota; Bigyra; Bicosoecida; Cafeteriaceae
Source: the annotation of a GenBank genome assembly
GACAAAAUAGCUCAGUUUGGUUAGAGCGGUGGAAUCAUAAUCCAUAGGUCGUGAGUUCGAGUCUCACUUUUGUCA